GGUCAGCGACUUAUAUUCUGUAGCAAGGUUAACCGUAUAGGGGAGCCGGAGGGAAACCGAGUCUUAACCGGGCGUUAAGUUGCAGGGUAUAGACCCGAAACCCGGUGAUCUAGCCAUGGGCAGGUUGAAGGUUGGGUAACACUAACUGGAGGACCGAACCGACUAAUGUUGAAAAAUUAGCGGAUGACCUGUGGCUGGGGGUGAAAGGCCAAUCAAACCGGGAGAUAGCUGGUUCUCCCCGAAAGCUAUUUAGGUAGCGCCUCGUGAAUUCAUCUCCGGGGGUAGAGCACUGUUUCGGCUAGGGGGCCAUCCCGGCUUACCAACCCGAUGCAAACUGCGAAUACCGGAGAAUGUUAUCACGGGAGACACACGGCGGGUGCUAACGUCCGUCGUGAAGAGGGAAACAACCCAGACCGCCAGCUAAGGUCCCAAAGUCAUGGUUAAGUGGGAAACGAUGUGGGAAGGCCCAGACAGCCAGGAUGUUGGCUUAGAAGCAGCCAUCAUUUAAAGAAAGCGUAAUAGCUCACUGGUCGAGUCGGCCUGCGCGGAAGAUGUAACGGGGCUAAACCAUGCACCGAAGCUGCGGCAGCGACGCUGAUGCGUUGUUGGGUAGGGGAGCGUUCUGUAAGCCUG
Molecule: ribosomal RNA, 633 nt
Filed under: Salmonella enterica subsp. enterica serovar Vitkin
Lineage: Bacteria; Pseudomonadati; Pseudomonadota; Gammaproteobacteria; Enterobacterales; Enterobacteriaceae
Description: partial 23S ribosomal RNA
Rfam family: Bacterial large subunit ribosomal RNA
Source: RNAcentral